AACGAACGCUGGCGGCGCGCCUAAUACAUGCAAGUCGAGCGAGAAGACGUAGCAAUACGUUUGUAAAGCGGCGAACGGGUGAGGAAUACAUGGGUAACCUACCCUCGAGUGGGGAAUAACUAGCCGAAAGGUUAGCUAAUACCGCGUACGCUCCUUGGACUUCGGUUCAGGGAGGAAAGCGAUACCGUGGGUAUCGCGCUCUUGGAUGGGCUCAUGUCCUAUCAGCUUGUUGGUGAGGAACGGCUCACCAAGGCUUCGACGGGUAGCUGGUCUGAGAGGACGAUCAGCCACACUGGCACUGCGACACGGGCCAGACUCCUACGGGAGGCAGCAGUAAGGAAUAUUGCGCAAUGGGCGAAAGCCCUGACGCAGCGACGCCGCGGUGGGGGA
RNAcentral lists this ribosomal RNA (390 nucleotides) under uncultured bacterium. RNAcentral describes it as "bacterial SSU rRNA". It matches the Rfam family "Bacterial small subunit ribosomal RNA", at positions 29 to 408 of the family's 1533-position model. The record is from RNAcentral.